Non-coding RNA from Hippocampus comes (tiger tail seahorse), 73 nucleotides. The record is from the annotation of a RefSeq genome assembly. Lineage: Eukaryota; Metazoa; Chordata; Actinopteri; Syngnathiformes; Syngnathidae.
GUUUCCAUAGUGUAGUGGUUAUCACAUUCGUCUAACACGCCAAAGGUCCCCAGUUCGAAACUGGGUGGAAACA